RNAcentral lists this long non-coding RNA (488 nucleotides) under Elaeis guineensis (African oil palm). RNAcentral describes it as "long non-coding RNA (EGUI_LNC029212)". The record is from RNAcentral. Lineage: Eukaryota; Viridiplantae; Streptophyta; Magnoliopsida; Arecales; Arecaceae.
CCAAGCCGGGAGACCUCGUCGACUAACUUGGCCUCCCGGUCGGCCGACUGCAGGAGUUGUUCGGCCAACAUCGCCCUCUCUGCUUCGGCCGCCGCCGACCUCUCCUUGAAGGCUGCCCGAACGUUGCCGAACCUUCGGUACCCGGCCUCAAGUUCGAACAUUGUGAAAAUCAGCUGCCGAUCAAAAAGCUUCGUCAGAAUUGCAUGAUAAGCAAAAAUUCCCAAGGAAAAUCUCUAAGGAAGAGAGGACCCGAAGCUUACCUCGACCAUCGUCGGGUAGAACCGAGACAACAUCUCGGACACCUGCCGAGUGCGCAGCAACCCCACAUCGGUUGGGAGGAGGAUUCCUUGGCACAACCUCCUCGCAAGAUCGUGGUCGGCCAACGCCGACGCACCCUCGGGGUAGUAGUUGCUUGGAGGCAUCGACCGGCCCCCCGACCUAUCCUCCUCCGCGGGCUCCAUCGGGGCUUUCCCCCGAUCAGCUGCCCC